RNAcentral lists this ribosomal RNA (495 nucleotides) under uncultured bacterium. Its description in RNAcentral is "partial 16S ribosomal RNA". It matches the Rfam family "Bacterial small subunit ribosomal RNA", at positions 28 to 505 of the family's 1533-position model. The record is from RNAcentral.
GAUGAACGCUGGCGGCGUGCCUAAUACAUGCAAGUCGAGCGAACGGACGAGAAGCUUGCUUCUCUGAUGUUAGCGGCGGACGGGUGAGUAACACGUGGAUAACCUACCUAUAAGACUGGGAUAACUUCGGGAAACCGGAGCUAAUACCGGAUGAUAUUUUGAACCGCAUGGUUCAAAAGUGAAAGACGGUCUUGCUGUCACUUAUAGAUGGAUCCGCGCUGCAUUAGCUAGUUGGUAAGGUAACGGCUUACCAAGGCAACGAUGCAUAGCCGACCUGAGAGGGUGAUCGGCCACACUGGAACUGAGACACGGUCCAGACUCCUACGGGAGGCUGCAGUAGGGAAUCUUCCGCAAUGGGCGAAAGCCUGACGGAGCAACGCCGCGUGAGUGAUGAAGGUCUUCGGAUCGUAAAACUCUGUUAUUAGGGAAGAACAUAUGUGUAAGUAACUGUGCACAUCUUGACGGUACCUAAUCAGAAAGCCACGGCUAACUACG